UACGUAGGGUGCAAGCGUUGUCCGGAAUUAUUGGGCGUAAAGAGCUCGUAGGCGGUCUGUCACGUCGGCUGUGAAAAGCUGGGGCUUAACCCCAGUCCUGCUUCCGAUACGGGUGGACUAGAGGUAGGUAGGGGAGAACGGAAUUCCUGGUGUAGCGGUGAAAUGCGCAGAUAUCAGGAGGAACACCGGUGGCGAAGGCGGUUCUCUGGGCCUUACCUGACGCUGAGGAGCGAAAGCAUGGGGAGCAAACAGG
RNAcentral lists this ribosomal RNA (253 nucleotides) under uncultured bacterium. RNAcentral describes it as "partial 16S ribosomal RNA". It matches the Rfam family "Bacterial small subunit ribosomal RNA", at positions 524 to 776 of the family's 1533-position model. The record is from RNAcentral.